This 202-nucleotide ribosomal RNA is filed under the name uncultured bacterium. RNAcentral describes it as "partial 16S ribosomal RNA". It matches the Rfam family "Bacterial small subunit ribosomal RNA", at positions 524 to 725 of the family's 1533-position model. The record is from RNAcentral.
UACGUAUGUCCCGAGCGUUAUCCGGAUUUACUGGGCGUAAAGCGAGCGCAGACGGUUGUUUAAGUGUGAUGUGAAAGCCCGGGGCUUAACUUGGGAAUGGCAUUGGAAACUGGUUAACUAGAGUGUUUUAGAGGGAGGUAGAACUCCAUGUGUAGCGGUGAAAUGCGUAGAGAUGUGGAGGAAUACCGGAGGCGAAGGCGGC